RNAcentral lists this transfer RNA (77 nucleotides) under Alphaproteobacteria bacterium. Its description in RNAcentral is "tRNA-Arg". It matches the Rfam family "tRNA". Rfam says of the family: Transfer RNA (tRNA) molecules are approximately 80 nucleotides in length. Their secondary structure includes four short double-helical elements and three loops (D, anti-codon, and T loops). Lineage: Bacteria; Pseudomonadati; Pseudomonadota; Alphaproteobacteria. The record is from RNAcentral.
GUCCCCGUAGCUCAGUAGGACAGAGCAACAGUUUCCUAAACUGUGGGUCACAGGUUCGAGUCCUGUCGGGGACGCCA